ACGAACGCUGGCGGCGUGCCUAAUACAUGCAAGUAGAACGCUGAAGGAGGAGCUUGCUUCUCCGGAUGAGUUGCGAACGGGUGAGUAACGCGUAGGUAACCUGCCUGGUAGCGGGGGAUAACUAUUGGAAACGAUAGCUAAUACCGCAUAACAGUAGAUGUUGCAUGACAUUUGCUUAAAAGGUGCAAUUGCAUCACUACCAGAUGGACCUGCGUUGUAUUAGCUAGUUGGUGAGGUAACGGCUCACCAAGGCGACGAUACAUAGCCGACCUGAGAGGGUGAGCGGCCACACUGGGACUGAGACACGGCCCAGACUCCUACGGGAGGCAGCAGUAGGGAAUCUUCGGCAAUGGACGGGAGUCUGACCGAGCAACGCCGCGUGAGCGAAGAAGGUUUUCGGAUCGUAAAGCUCUGUUGUAAGAGAAGAACGAGUGUGAGAGUGGAAAGUUCACACUGUGACGGUAUCUUACCAGAAAGGGACGGCUAACUACGUG
Molecule: ribosomal RNA, 494 nt
Filed under: uncultured bacterium
Lineage: Bacteria
Description: partial 16S ribosomal RNA
Rfam family: Bacterial small subunit ribosomal RNA
Source: RNAcentral